CCUACGGGCGGCUGCAGUCGAGAAUCAUUCACAAUGGGGGAAACCCUGAUGGUGCGACGCCGCGUGGGGGAAUGAAGGUCUUCGGAUUGUAAACCCCUGUCAUGUGGGAGCAAAUUAAAAAGAUAGUACCACAAGAGGAAGAGACGGCUAACUCUGAGCCAGCAGCCGCGGUAAUACAGAGGUCUCAAGCGUUGUUCGGAAUCACUGGGGGUAAAGGGUGCGUAGGCUGUUUCGUAAGUCGUGUGUGAAAGGCGCGGGCUCAACCCGCGGACGGCACAUGAUACUGCGAGACUAGAGUAAUGGAGGGGGAACCGGAAUUCUCGGUGUAGCAGUGAAAUGCGUAGAUAUCGAGAGGAACACUCGUGGCGAAGGCGGGUUCCUGGACAUUAACUGACGCUGAGGCACGAAGGCCAGGGGAGCGAAAGGGAUUAGAUACCCGUGUAGUC
This 446-nucleotide ribosomal RNA is filed under the name uncultured bacterium. RNAcentral describes it as "partial 16S ribosomal RNA". It matches the Rfam family "Bacterial small subunit ribosomal RNA", at positions 338 to 795 of the family's 1533-position model. The record is from RNAcentral.